RNAcentral lists this ribosomal RNA (429 nucleotides) under Chloroflexota bacterium. RNAcentral's name for it is "Chloroflexi bacterium partial 16S ribosomal RNA". It matches the Rfam family "Bacterial small subunit ribosomal RNA", at positions 355 to 776 of the family's 1533-position model. Lineage: Bacteria; Bacillati; Chloroflexota. The record is from RNAcentral.
UGGGGAAUAUUGCACAAUGGGCGCAAGACUGAUGCAGCCAUGCCGCGUGUAUGAAGAAGGCCUUCGGGUUGUAAAGUACUUUCAGUCGGGAGGAAGGUGUCAAGGUUAAUAACCUUGGCAAUUGACGUUACCGACAGAAGAAGAACCGGCUAACUCCGUGCCAGCAGCCGCGGUAAUACGGAGGGUGCAAGCGUUAAUCGGAAUUACUGGGCGUAAAGCGCACGCAGGCGGUUGAUUGAGUCAGAUGUGAAAUCCCCGGGCUUAACCCGGGAAUUGCAUCUGAUACUGGUCAACUAGAGUCUUGUAGAGGUGGGUAGAAUUCCAUGUGUAGCGGUGAAAUGCGUAGAGAUGUGGAGGUAUCCCGGUGGCGAAGGCGGCCCCCUGGACAAAGACUGACGCUCAGGUGCGAAAGCGUGGGGAGCAAACAGG